ACUCAAAUGAAUUGACGGGGGCCCGCACAAGCGGUGGAGCAUGUGGUUCAAUUCGAUGCAACGCGAAGAACCUUACCCGGGUUUGAACUGUGUCUGCAACAUUCAGAGAUGAAUGCCCCUAGCAAUAGGCAGAUACAGAGGUGCUGCAUGGCUGUCGUCAGCUCGUGUCGUGAGAUGUUGGGUUAAGUCCCGCAACGAGCGCAACCCUUGCUUUUAGUUGCUCAUCCGUACGGAUAGCACUCUAAAUAGGACUGCCGGUGAUAAACCGGAGGAAGGUGGGGAUGACGUCAAGUCAUCAUGGCCUUUAUGCCCGGGGCUACACACGUGCUACAAUGGCUGGUACAAAGGGUUGCCAAACCGUGAGGUGGAGCCAAUCCCAACAAAGCCAGCCUCAGUUCGGAUUGUAGUCUGCAACUCGACUACAUGAAGGUGGAAUCGCUAGUAAUCGCGGAUCAGCAUGCCGCGGUGAAUACGUUUCCGGGCCUUGUACACACCGCCCGU
Molecule: ribosomal RNA, 501 nt
Filed under: uncultured bacterium
Lineage: Bacteria
Description: partial 16S ribosomal RNA
Rfam family: Bacterial small subunit ribosomal RNA
Source: RNAcentral